AGUGAACGCUGGCGGUAGGCCUAACACAUGCAAGUCGAACGGCAGCACAGUAAGAGCUUGCUCUUACGGGUGGCGAGUGGCGGGCGGGUGAGGAAAACAUCGGAAGCUACUUUUUAGUGGGGGAGAACGUAGGGAAACUUACGCUAAUACCGCAUACGACCUACGGGUGAAAGCAGGGGAUCUUCGGACCUUGCGCGAUUGUAUGAGGCGAUGUCGGAUUAGCUAGUUGGCGGGGUAAAGGCCCACCAAGGCGACGAUCCGUAGCUGGUCUGAGAGGAUGAUCAGCCACACUGGAACUGAGACACGGUCCAGACUCCUACGGGAGGCAGCAGUGGGGAAUAUUGGACAAUGGGCGCAAGCCUGAUCCAGCCAUACCGCGUGUGUGAAGAAGGCCUUCGGAUUGUAAAGCCCUUUUGUUGGGAAAGAAGAGCAGCAGGUUAAUACCCCGCUGUUCUGACGGUACCCAAAGAAUAAGCACCGGCUAACUUCGUG
This 492-nucleotide ribosomal RNA is filed under the name uncultured bacterium. Its description in RNAcentral is "partial 16S ribosomal RNA". It matches the Rfam family "Bacterial small subunit ribosomal RNA", at positions 29 to 507 of the family's 1533-position model. The record is from RNAcentral.